AGAAUCAACGCUGGCGGCGUGCCUAACACAUGCAAGUCGAACGCGAAAGCCCCGCAAGGGGCAAGUAGAGUGGCAAACGGGUGAGUAACACGUGGGUGACCUGCCUUCGAGCGGGGGAUAACGGUCCCGAAAGGGACGCUAAUACCGCAUAAUAUCCUGCCUUUGAAGAGGUGGAGAUCAAAGCUGGGGAUCGUAAGACCCGGCACUUGAAGAGGGGCCCGCGCCUGAUUAGCUAGUCGGUGGGGUAAUGGCCUACCAAGGCAACGAUCAGUA
RNAcentral lists this ribosomal RNA (273 nucleotides) under uncultured soil bacterium. RNAcentral's name for it is "partial 16S ribosomal RNA". It matches the Rfam family "Bacterial small subunit ribosomal RNA", at positions 26 to 285 of the family's 1533-position model. The record is from RNAcentral.